Molecule: ribosomal RNA, 506 nt
Filed under: uncultured Glomus
Lineage: Eukaryota; Fungi; Glomeromycota; Glomeromycetes; Glomerales; Glomeraceae
Description: SSU rRNA
Rfam family: Eukaryotic small subunit ribosomal RNA
Source: RNAcentral
AGCAGCCGCGGUAAUUCCAGCUCCAAUAGCGUAUAUUAAAGUUGUUGCAGUUAAAAAGCUCGUAGUUGAAUUUCGGGAUCAGUACGCUGGUCGUGCCUCCGGUAUGAACUGGUGUCACUGGUUCCUCCCUUCUGAAGAACUAUCAUGCCAUUCACUUGGUGUGGUGGGAAAUCAGGACUGUUACUUUGAAAAAAUUGAGUGUUUAAAGCAGGCUCACGCUUGAAUACAUUAGCAUGGAAUAAUGAAAUAGGACGUUGAUCCUAUUUUGUGGUUUCUAGGAUUGACGUAAUGAUUAAUAGGGAUAGUUGGGGGCAUUAGUAUUCAAUUGUCAGAGGUGAAAUUCUUGGAUUUAUUGAAGACUAACUACUGCGAAAGCAUUUGCCAAGGAUGUUUUCAUUAAUCAAGAACGAAGUUAGGGAUCGAAGACGAUCAGAUACGUCGUAGUCUUAACCAUAACUAUGCCGACUAGGGAUCGGAUGAUGUUAAUUUUUUAAUGUACUUCAUUC